UCUAGUAUGGCAGAUUAGUGCGAUGAAUUUAAGAUUCAUAUAUAAAAAUUAUUUUUUUGUUGGAA
RNAcentral lists this transfer RNA (65 nucleotides) under Auritibicen japonicus. RNAcentral's name for it is "tRNA-Leu". Lineage: Eukaryota; Metazoa; Arthropoda; Insecta; Hemiptera; Cicadidae. The record is from RNAcentral.